CUUAACUCCUCAACUUCUAUAUACACUCUUACAUCUCCAAUUCUCCAAUUUUCAUUCUCUUUAUUGAUUCAUCAACUAAACGCCAUGCAUUAUCAAAUCCAUUAAAUCACUUGCACUUCCAUAAAAUCAAUACCUUAUACAUAUACAACCCAUAUACAUCAUUUAUUCCAAUAUAUAAAAUUCAACACUUGGCAUGUAACUUCAUUCAAACCUUUACAAAUCUGAAAAUAAGAGUUUUGACAAAAACAACACUAAAAUCCCCUAAUAAUGAAAUCUGGCACCAAUUUCUUUAUUGAAAUUUGGCAGUAAAACCUUUGAUAGAAUUAGCACUAUUCUGGGCAGAAUUACAAAAACAUCACCUGUGUAGGAUUUGUCCAAAAAUUGCUUAUAACUAUUACUUAAAAAUGGAGAAAUCAACCCUAAUUCCUUAAUUUAAGUGUUUAACAUCAUAUAAUCACAAAAAAAUUCAAAUAAUAUAUUUCUAUCUUACAAACCCAUUUCAAAAUUCAACUUUCUUCAACUUCAACACUCAAUUAACAUUUCUUUGCUAUAUUCCUAUUUAUAACCUCAAAUGUAUAUCAAUAUCAACUAAUUAUUGCUAAACUUCGAAUUAACGUAAAUUUUCCAUAAACCCCAAAAUAUUCAAGUAACAUAAACUUCAAUUACCUCUUGGAAAUAAGAACUAAGAAAUAAAACCUCAAUAUUUAAAAGCCAACACCCAUUUCUUCUUCUUCUCCUUCCUUCCUUUUUCUCGUUCAUUUUUUUUUUCAUAUUUUGUUCUCUGCUUCUCCAGUCUGUUUUCCCCAGCAAUGAGAGAAUGAUAGAUAUGUUUGAAGUUUAAAUGGAUAAGUAUGGUAGAAUUGCAAAUCAAGUCCUCACUCUUCAUAUAAUAUACCAUUUACUCCUUUGAUUCCAGUAAAUAGAAACUAAAUCCCUAAAAUUCUUGUAAUUACAAAUUAAGCCCCAAAAGAAUCAUAUGUUCAACUUAAGUCCUUAUUGACUUUGUCUUUGACCAAUUACUUCCCUUGACUUUGACUAAAAAUGGGUGGGGUGUAACAAUCUCACCACCUUCAAAGAAUUUCGUCCUUGAAACUAACUCCACUAGAAUUCGUACAUAUUAGAAAAUAAAGCAAAAAUAUUAAAUGAUUUCCCCAACAACCUUUAACUAGGCCCAAGGUUCAUCCUUUCCUUAUCAUAGUUUGAAUAACUUUCGUAAGAAUCAAUAUAUGAUAUUCUCAUCUUUUCAUUUUACAUUUCUCAUUUCUUUUCCUCUAUAAAUAUUCACUCACUGCAAUAGCCACAUACAUAUUCCACUUAUCUUCUUCUCCUCUUCUAAUUUUUCAUUUCACUUUUCAGUUAGGCCCAUAUACAACACGACUUACUACUGCUGUCUUCCAUUUCUUUCCGUGCUUCAAAGUUUCAUUGUCAAUUUAAUUCCUUCAAGUCCUACAUUUGUAUGUAAAGAGAAUUCAAUGUUUUGCACGACUCCAAAUAUGCUUACUCGUACUAAAUUAAGAAACUUGAGCUUACCCAUUUCUUGAAUAAAGAAAGAAAAACACAACACCUAGACUUUCUCAAUUUCCUUUUCUUUUCUUUUAUUUUUAUUUUUAAUUUUUUAUUGUGCAUCAUCUCAACCACUUAACUUGUUUACCAUAACUAACAUCCCAUCUUCCUUAUAGUACAAUGUGAUAAUAUGUCCUUACUAACUCCAAUUUAACAUGUCGUCCUCGAUAAAUUAUAAACCAACACAACAAACCCGAUGAUGGCUAGAGGAAAAUCAAUUCACAUUUUAACUUAUACUAUUACGUUAUUCUGUUUACAUCAAACUGUCAUAUCUUUUGUUUAUCAUUAUUGACAAUGACUCUCAUAAUAAAAUAACCUUAUUAAGUGAACAUCAUCGUAUCAUAUGGCCACAAAAUUUAAUCAUGUCUCAUCUCCCAAGUUGAACAACAUGAUUCAUUGUACUUAUCUUGUUGACCCUUACUAAUUGAAAAUCAUUGUACCCAUAUUUAAUGAUCGAAUAUCGAUAACAUUGCAGGCCCAAUUAACAACCUUAAUGAAUAUCUAUGCAUCUCUCUUUAUUGUUUUCUUUCCUUUCUCAUUCUUUCGAUAAAUACACAUACUUACACAGAACCCAAGCUACUAUUGCAUAUAACCUAUACACAGUGAUUUAACACUAAUUCCUACUCUUACCUUUCUAUUCUCGUUAACUUCCGACCACACAUGUCCCCAAAUAUAUAUCCCUAUCAAAAUUAUAUUUCCUCUUAAUCCUUCCCUAUAUUUUAUUUAUUUAUUUUUCUUCUCCAACCUCAUUUAUCACUAAUCGUUCUCAUUUUGUAACACAUCGUUUAAUUGGUCAAGGCAAUCAUAAUCCCACCCUAGAUUUUUCUUGAAGUACAGAUGUAUGUUAAUCUUCUCAAUGCGUAAUAUACAUAAUAAAAUAUUGUAUUUUAUUAAUCAACAAUCUACAUAAUAUUAUCAUUUUGUCCUCCACAAAAUUCUUAUCAUAUAGAAUAAGUACACACCAACAUGCUUUCUAUUCUCAUCUCAACCAAGUGGCCACAAUUCAUCACGAUUUUCGAUAGCGCUAACAGUCAUUUAGCUCUCCAAAAUAAUUAAAAUCCUUCACAAAUUAUCACAAAUAUACACAUUAUAUCAAUUCUCCGUAUUUAUUGUGCAAGCUAUAACUAAAAAUUUUCCUAUAUAUCAUGAUCUAUUCAACUCUUAAUAUGUUACAUAUACCAUAAUUCCAACCCAACAACUAAUAACAUUUCCAACCAUCAGACCAUUGCAAAUAUCAUACUUAC
Molecule: long non-coding RNA, 2807 nt
Filed under: Olea europaea subsp. europaea
Lineage: Eukaryota; Viridiplantae; Streptophyta; Magnoliopsida; Lamiales; Oleaceae
Source: RNAcentral